RNAcentral lists this transfer RNA (73 nucleotides) under Marmota monax (woodchuck). Its description in RNAcentral is "tRNA.Val". Lineage: Eukaryota; Metazoa; Chordata; Mammalia; Rodentia; Sciuridae. The record is from RNAcentral.
AUGGGAUUGGCUCAGUGGCAGAGUGCUUGCCUCACAAAUAUGAGGCACUGGGUUGGAUCCUCAGCACCACAUA